RNAcentral lists this long non-coding RNA (1414 nucleotides) under Homo sapiens (human). Its description in RNAcentral is "HSALNT0291143". Lineage: Eukaryota; Metazoa; Chordata; Mammalia; Primates; Hominidae. The record is from RNAcentral.
GCCAACCAGGGAAAGGCCAGCCCGGGCCUCUCGGGAUCUCAAGCCCUCGGCCUGUGUGUGUGCCAGAGCUUCCCACAGACUCGGGAAGAAGGUGCCGGAGGCUUGCCGGGCGGCCUUGCGGUUUGAAGCAGUGAGUCACCUUCUGGCUGCAAGUCAAGGAACUCUCACUGCGCCCUUGUUUGGACAAGACGAGGAGGCGCACUCAGAGUCAGAGACCCCGGGGCAGAGACAGGGGCAAGAAGAAGGGGCCACCGAGACCCCAAGAGAGUCAGGGAGACAGACGCACCAAACGACCGACACAACCAGGGACAGAUAUCCUUCGAGUUGGAUUUCGACUGGGUUCUGCCAGUGGGAUGUAUCCAUGCGAGAUUCUGGAACUAACAUCAGAGAGAGUCCAAGCUUCUAACUUUUAUCAGCGGCAGUGACAAUAGUCAAGCAGCAUUGAUGACAAACGGCAAGAGUUUAGAAAGUACCAGUGACGUGCCUGAUAGAAUCUCACCACAAGAUGGAAGCCAACUCGUCAGAAGCCUGGAAAGCCCACCCAGCGUGGGACCUCUGUGGGUCCAGGAUCUUGGAAUGGUAUCCCAUGGUUCAAUCUUCUGGAUUCAACCACAUAAAUUUACCCCACCCAUGUCGUGGACCCAAGCUUCCUACCAUGUAUACUUAGCUUAAAUGCAAGAUAGUACUAUUUUGUUCAUCUUGAUUGGAGUGAGAAAUGAAUAGGUCCAUGCACAUAUAUUUCUUUUACCACAACAAGAUGAUGAAGAAAUAAAUCCAUAAUAUCGAUACUUUUGUAUAAGUUGUGUUUACAGUUGCGGUAAGAAAUUUUAUAAUUGUUGAUUUGCUUUAUAUAAUUUCUGCUUGCUUUUUAUGAUAUUUAAAACAAAAUCUAAGCAACAAAUUUUAUGUCUGAUUAGAUUUACAGAAGCUGCUUAAGUGCUUAGGGAUAAUUUGUUCAUCAUAUUUGUAAGUCUCCCUUGUUAGGUGUUUGAAGUGUUUGAAUUGGCUAAAUUAAAUUUGUAAUUGUAGUUUGAAAUAUCUAAAGGAAUUUUCUUAAUUAAGUGUUUAAAUGAUGUUAAAAGUUUGUGGGAAUUUAAUCUAUCAAAUUUAUGAGUUAAUUGAAUAUGAAUCAAUGAACAAGUAAAUGUGAUCUUGCUUUUAUAUAAAAACUACUAAGUUCAUAAAUAAAAUACAAAGAUCCAUAAGUUGAGAGGAAAAGCAAAAGAGCCAGAUUCUAAGAUCUAUAACUUAAAAAAAUUAAAUAUUGAUUGAAAUGUAAGUCAUUGCAAUUAUCCCCACUAGCUGAAAUCUCACAUCUGAGUGCUUACACACAAAACAAAAUGUUACCCUGAACAUACUAAACAAAUAAAAAACCACGUGGUAAUUACUAUACACAUGCUCACUGCUGGAAGCA